This 64-nucleotide microRNA precursor is filed under the name Strongylocentrotus purpuratus (purple sea urchin). Its description in RNAcentral is "Spu-Novel-1-P1b_pre stem-loop". The record is from RNAcentral. Lineage: Eukaryota; Metazoa; Echinodermata; Echinoidea; Camarodonta; Strongylocentrotidae.
UUUUAUGAUCGAGGAAGCAGAUGUGACAUUAUUAUAAGAAACACCUGCACUCUAUCAUAGAUGC